Molecule: long non-coding RNA, 5841 nt
Organism: Homo sapiens (human)
Lineage: Eukaryota; Metazoa; Chordata; Mammalia; Primates; Hominidae
Gene: TRHDE-AS1
Product: TRHDE antisense RNA 1
Source: Ensembl
GGGUUCUGGACACAAGCGACGGCAGCUUCCGCGACCCCCAUCAGCCCCGCCUCACUCUGGACACCGGGCUGUGAGCUCUGGGACGCGCCCAACUUGGAAAGCGUCUUGCUUGCCCAGCGCGCGCUACUUCUCGGACGAGCACCCGGCGGCGGGGCACAUGCUGCCCCCGCCCCUGCGCGCCUGCGGCUCCCGGCUCUCCCUCCCCUGCGCCGCGCUCUCGCCUCGCUUUCCGCGGGAGCCUUCCAACCGGUUCUCGGCUAGGGAGAAGGACGGGAGCGGUGGGAAGAGCGAGGGUGUAGAGAGGGAAGUUAGGGCUUUCGCUUUCUCCCCCCACUCCAGCGGCGGCGUUCGGUCCUCUGGGUGGAAUGUGCUCGCAGCAGCAGUGACGGCGGCCACAGCACGGGAGGCACCCGAGCCAUACACCCUGCAGCUGGAGAGAAAAGGAUGGCCGAGGUGGGAGAGACUAGAGUGAACCAGCAGGAGGAAGUCCCAGGGCCGCGAAGCUACGACGGAGAUCCGUCCUGGAAAAGCCUUCUCCACCCUGGGCACUUUAAGCGGCGGUGGCGGCAAACGGCAGGAGGUUGCAGACCCGACAGCGAGACUCCCUCAUUCCAGUCUUGCUCUGCCCUCCGGAGAUGACAAGUGAGAAAGAAGUGUCCGGCCGGGCCAUCCCCUUCAGAGAAGCAACCACUUCACAAGAAGAUUCUGAAGUUGGCCAUUUUUGAUCCCAGAACAGUUUCUCAUAGAUUAGAAAUAUUGGAGUCUACACAAAAAUCGAUAUUCAUUUACAAGAUCAUCACUAAACUUAUCUUGCAUAACUUACCAAGAAUAACUGUAAAAUGUGCUGGGAAUGCAAUGUCCUGAGAUAAGGAAGAACUGCCUGAAACAGCCUGGAUCUUAUUCCUGUACUUCCUAGGGAAUGUAACAUCUCAAGUUAAAGAGGAACUGCCCGGAACAGCCCGGGGAUUGUUCCUCUCUCCUGAGAAGGAAGAUUACCUCCAAAGCUCAUCCACUGAGUCACACUGCCCCUGUGGUGGAGGGCGGGCUGCCUUUCCAGGUUCCUCAGCUGUGGUGUAACUGAAGCAGGCACAAUCAAGACUCCAUCUGCUCGAGGCAGCUUUCUCGAACCUUGGGGAACCUACUCACAAUGGAUCACAGGCUUCUUUUGUUUUGUUUCUUGCUGCCUAUCUUGGGAAGCAAAAAUCAGCUGAGUGAAGAUGAGGAAGAAGGUGUUAAAGGUUUGAAGAAAAAAGGAAAAGGAUAUACUAAUCUAAGAGGACAAGUAAGUAGAACAUAGAUAAUGAAAAUGCUGGCCCUUAGGACUGUUGGGCCUAAAUGCUCAUAUUAUAUUGGUAGUCACAAAUUUGAACUUUCUCUAGAGCCAAUUUUUGCAUGUGUGUGCAGGCCUGGAGUAGUUGGAGAGUUGGAUUUAAUAGAAUUGAGGGUCAAGCAACUACAACCAGGGAAGAGUGGGACAAGGGAGAUAAAGGAUAUUGGCAGGGGAGCAAUUAUAAACAUGGACCAUGAUCAAAACUGGACAGGAAGGAAAAUAGAGAUAAGAGGGGUGGAAGGUUAAAAAUAGUGAAAAUGAGAUAGAAUGAAUAGGUUGUAGGUCCCUGUAAAGUUGAAGAAGUAUUAUUAUGCAGUACUCGUUAUUGAAAUGAGGUCACUAUGCUUAAGGCACAGUGAAUCCUAGAAAAUAGUGGUUUUGUUUCUCAUUAGGCAAUACAUUCCUCCUUGCUCCAGAAUGCAACAUACAUGUAUCCUUUUCUGUACUAUUUUUUAUUAAGAAUUCAUACUUAAUUCCACUGACUGCCACUCAAUUUUAAUGUACAGUAGGGAAUUCCUGUACUAUGUAUUAUGAAUCCAUUCCUUUGAAUUUCAUUUAUAAUACUUCAUGACUGACACCUGGCUUUCCACCAAGACUCAAUUUUCAUAGCAAGCCUCAUCAUCAUAAGCCCCCAAAUUAACAGGAUGAGGAGGAAGAAUUGGCAGGCUAAAGAAGAUGAUUAUAUCAAUUAAUGCAGAAAAAGCAUUUGAUAAAAUCCAAUAUUCAUUUGUAAUUAAAAACUCUCAGCAAGUUAGGGAUAGGAAUUACUUCAACUUAAUGAAGAGUGUCUUUAAAAACCUUAUUUUCAUCAGUUAUAACAAAUGUACCACUCUGGUGGUGAAUGUUGCUAAGGAGGGAAGCUAUACAUGUGUGGGGAAAGGAGAUGUGUGAGCAAUUUCUGUACCUUCUACUCAAUCUUCUGUGAGACUAAAAUUGCUGUAAAAAAUAAAGUUCAUUUUUUUAAAAACCUACAGCUGUCAUUCUUAAUGCUGAAAGACAGAAUGCUUUUCUCUAAGAUAGGGAACAAGGCAAAGAUUCAGUUCUCACCACUCCUAUUCAACACAGCACUACAAGUUCUAGCCACUGAAAUGGGGGUUGGGGGGAAGCAGAAGAAGAAAAGAAAUAAAAUGUAUACAGUUUCAAAAGGAAGAAUUAAAAUAGUCCCUGUGUGCAGAUGACAUGAUUGUCUAUUUAGUAAACCCAUGGAUUAUACAAAAAUAAAAUUCCGAGAACUUAAAAAGUGAUUUCAGCAAGAUCACAGGAUAUAAGAUCGAGAUGAAAACCAAUGUCAUUUCUAUAUACAGUAAGUCCUCUCUCUUAAUAUCAUCAAUAGGUUCUUGGAAACUGACUUUAAGCAAAACAACAUAAAACUAAACCCAAUUUUUCAUCAUCAAAGUUAUAACAAAAUGAUGUUGAACAAAACUACAUUAUUUCAGGACCUGCCAUACAUCAUGUCACUUAAAAUUACAGUUUCUAAGAACCUACCAAUGGCAUUAUGUGAGAAUUACUGUAGUAACAAUAAACGUAUGAAAACCAAAAUUAAAACACAUUUACAAUCAACCCAAGGAAAAUGAAAUAUUGAGGUAUAAACUUAAUGUUUUAUGAGGCAACUUAAUGAGGCAAAAAAAUGUAUACUAUCUGAUGCUGAAAAUUGCAAAUGCUGAUGAAAGAAAUCAGUGAUGACAAAUAAACAGAGAGACAUACUAUAGUCACAAAUUGGAAGACUCAACAUAGUAAAAAUGUCAAUUUGCCUCAAAGUAAUCUGUAGGUAUAAGACAAUUAUCAAAAUUCAGGGAAGUUUUUUGUAGGCAUUGGCUAGCCUAUUCUAAAAUUUAUAUGAAAAGCACAAACCUUAGAAUAUCUAAGAUAAUCUGAAAAGAAGAAUAAAGUGAGAGGAAUCACUCUACCUGAUAUUAAGCUUUAUAAUACAGUAACAGUACUCAAGACUGUGUGGUAUUUGCCAAGGCAUGGACUCAGAUCAAUGGAACAGAAGAGAAAACACAGGAAUAGACCCAUAUAAACAUUUCCAACUGAUUGUUUUCCAAUCGAUUUGUGACAAAAGUGCAGAAGUAAUUCAGUGAAGGAAGGAUAGCCUUGCAACAAGUUGUGCUGAAGCAGUGAGCACCCAUAGGCAAAAAGAAAAAGAGAACAUCAACCUUAACCUCACAUCUUAUACAAAAAUUAAUCCAAAAUUGAUAAUAGACUUAAAUGUAAAAUAUAAAACAUUUCACAAAAAUAGAAGAAAGUCUUCAGGAUCUAGGACUAGGCAAAUAAUUCUUAAAUGAUAUCAAAAGCAUAAUUCAUAAAGGGAAAAGUUGAUAAAUUAGACCUCAUUAAAAUUAAAAACUUAUGGAAAAUGUGCUGUUAAGAGGAUAAAAAAUAUAAGCUACAGACUGAAAGAAAAUAUUUGCAAGCCACAUAACUGACAAAGGACUAGUAUCUAGAAUAUAUAAAGAAUUUUCAAUACUCAGUUGUAAAAACAAAAUAAUUCAACCAGAAAAUUGAUAUGAGCAAACAUGUCACUGAAGAGGAUGUACAGAUGGCAAAAAUGCAUGUAAAAAGAUUUCAACUUCAUAAACCGUUAGGGAAAUGUGAAUUAAGCAACCAAUCAGAAUGGUUAAAAUGUUUAAAAAAUAGUAACACCACCAAAUAUUGGCAAGGAUAUAAAGGAAUCGAAUCACUCAUGCAUUGCUAGUAAAAAAUGUAAAGAGGUACAGCCACACUGGGAAACCUUUUCAUGGUUUUCUAAAAACUAAGCAUGGAGUUACCAUACAUCCCAGCAGUUCUACUCAUCAGCAUUUAUCCCAGAGAAAUAAAAAUUUAUGUUUACACUAAAACCUAUAUAUGAAUGUUCAUAAUAGCAUUUUUCAUAGUAGCCAAAAAUUGGAACCGUCUCAGGUGUCCUACCAUGGGUGAAUGGUUAAACAAACUAUGGUGCAUCUAUAUCUACCAUGAAGUAGAACUCAGCAAUAAAAAGGAAUGAACUAUUCAUACACCUUAUAACUUGGAUGCAUCUCCAGGUAAUUGUGCUGAGUGAAAAAAAAAAAAAAAAGCCCCAAUUCCAAAAGGUUAUAUACUCUAUGAUUCUACUUCUGCAAUGUUUAUUAAAUGAUAAAAUUACAGAAGUGGGAAAAUGAUUAGUGGUUUCCAGGGGGUAUAUACAGUAAGGGUGAGAGGGCCGGAAGAGUGCAGUUUUAUAAGGGCAACAUAAGGGACCCUUAUGGUGAUGGGACUGUUCUGUAUCUUGACUCUGUUGGUAGUCACAUGAAUCUACACAUGAUAAAAUUGCAUAGAAUUAAACAUAUAUACACACUCAAAUGAAUGCAUGUAAAACCGGUAAAAUCUGAAUAAGGUAAAUGGAUCAUAAUCAAUGUCAAUUUUCCAUUUGUGAUAUUAUACUAUAGUUAUGUAAGAUGAUGUUAGCAUUGGGAGAAACUGGGUGAUGGAUAUACAGAAUCUUUCUGUAUUAUUUCUUGUAAUUGCAUAUGUAUCUCAAUGGUCUCAAAAUAAAAAGUUAAAUAAAUAAGAGAGACCAAAAAGUGGCUUUCCAGUGGAGAACUGAGAUAAUCUGAGCAUCUUAUGCUCUAAAUAAAGUAUGCAAUAAAAAUAAAAUAUAUAUAUAUAUAUAUAUAUAUAUCUGUAAGUCAUAUUGAAAGUUACACACCAUUUUGGGGAAAAGUCAAGUAAAAACAGCAGUAUACACUAUUAGCUUUAACAUUAGGCUUUGAGACUAUCUCUGGCCUUUUCUCUGGCCAAAGGGAAAGAAAUCCUCAGAUCUACUCUGAAGCCUUUCUUAGACUGAGAAGCCUCUGAUAGCAUUUCAAAGCAGCUUAGUGCCAAACAUUCUUUGAGCAUCCAGUAAGAGUCUGUUUGCAACUUAAUAGAAAGAUUUUUUAAGUUGCCUUUUGACUAUACACAAUGAGUUCUCUUUUUAUCUGGUUCCUGAUUACUCUCUGACCUUUAUCAUACAAAGAAAGAUCUUUCAGCCUAUUCCAAUCUGUACUAAAAUUCAGAUAAGAGGAAGCAUCCUCAAAGCUGGAUUAUCUGACUCUGAAGCCAGCGUGAUCCUCCUACUGCCUUCAGCAGCUUUUCGUAGUGUUCAGCCAGAACUGACAUUUCUACAUUCUACACUGCCAGCCUUUAAUGACCUCUCUCAUCUCCAAACUUCUAUAACAAUUAUUACCUAUACUAUGCAAUAAAAAACACUCAUUUUAAGUAUAAGUUUAAUGCCAUGUUGACAAAUGAAUUCAGCCCUGUGUGACCAUUGUCAUAAUCAAGUAACAGAACAUUUCCAUCACCCUAAAAAGUUCCCUUGGCCUCUUGCUCUUUUCCCCAGCCCCAGGCAACCAUUAUUUUGCUUUUUAUCACUAUAGUUUUGUCUGUUCUAGAAUUUUACUUAAGUGAAAGCAAAAGUGAAUAUUCUUUUGUCAUCUGGCUUCUUUAAAUUCUUCAGCAUAAUUUUUUAUAUUUAUGCAGUUCUUCUUAUCAGUUUAUUUUUAUUGGUGAGUAGU